Molecule: non-coding RNA, 356 nt
Organism: Saimiri boliviensis boliviensis (Bolivian squirrel monkey)
Lineage: Eukaryota; Metazoa; Chordata; Mammalia; Primates; Cebidae
Source: RefSeq, a predicted model, not a curated record
CCUUCACCUGCAGAACUCCAGCUGAACCAAGUAGGAAGCCAGGCGAGCUGUAAAACAUGAACAGAGGAGUGGAUUAUUUGGUCACUGAGGUAGAGAUCAAUCUUACCAGAGGACCCUCAGGUAAAUGGCCAAGACCUAAAGAACCUGCUGCACCAGGAUGCUGUAGGCCUCUUUCGGAAUGCAGGCUAUGCUGUGUCUCUGAGAGUGCAGCACAGGUUAUAGGUGCAGAAUGGACCUAUCGGACACUGAGGUGAAGGGGACCCAAGUGAUAUUUCCAACUUUAUGGUGCUGGUGCCAGUGUUUCCCUCACUGUGGUAGCAGCCUGGGCUUUCAUGAGAUACCAGCAACAACUUUGA